GCCCAAGAGAUCGGGAUAACACCUGGAAACAGAUGCUAAUACCGGAUAACAACGGAUGAUGCCUAUCAACUGUUUAAAAGAUGGUUCUGCUAUCACUCUUGGAUGGACCUGCGGUGCAUUAGCUAGUUGGUAGGGUAACGGCCUACCAAGGCGAUGAUGCAUAGCCGAGUUGAGAGACUGAUCGGCCACAUUGGGACUGAGACACGGCCCAAACUCCUACGGGAGGCAGCAGCG
RNAcentral lists this ribosomal RNA (234 nucleotides) under uncultured Lactobacillus sp. RNAcentral's name for it is "partial 16S ribosomal RNA". It matches the Rfam family "Bacterial small subunit ribosomal RNA", at positions 128 to 356 of the family's 1533-position model. The record is from RNAcentral. Lineage: Bacteria; Bacillati; Bacillota; Bacilli; Lactobacillales; Lactobacillaceae.